Molecule: transfer RNA, 90 nt
Filed under: Paracoccaceae bacterium
Lineage: Bacteria; Pseudomonadati; Pseudomonadota; Alphaproteobacteria; Rhodobacterales; Paracoccaceae
Description: tRNA-Ser
Rfam family: tRNA
About the family: Transfer RNA (tRNA) molecules are approximately 80 nucleotides in length. Their secondary structure includes four short double-helical elements and three loops (D, anti-codon, and T loops). Further hydrogen bonds mediate the characteristic L-shaped molecular structure. tRNAs have two regions of fundamental functional importance: the anti-codon, which is responsible for specific mRNA codon recognition, and the 3' end, to which the tRNAs corresponding amino acid is attached (by aminoacyl-tRNA synthetases). tRNAs cope with the degeneracy of the genetic code in two manners: having more than one tRNA (with a specific anti-codon) for a particular amino acid; and 'wobble' base-pairing, i.e. permitting non-standard base-pairing at the 3rd anti-codon position.
Source: RNAcentral
GGAGAGGUGCCGGAGUGGUCGAACGGGGCGGUCUCGAAAACCGUUGAGGCUUUACAGGUUCCCAGGGUUCGAAUCCCUGUCUCUCCGCCA